UUGCCCCGCAAGGGGUAACUGAGUGGCGAACGGGUGAGUAACACGUGGGUGACCUACCCUCGAGUGGGGGAUAACAUCCCGAAAGGGGUGCUAAUACCGCAUGACAUCCUGUCUUUGAACAGAUGGACAUUAAAGCCGGGGAUCGCAAGACCUGGCGCUCGUGGAGGGGCCCGCGCCCGAUUAGCUAGUUGGUGAGGUAACGGCUCACCAAGGCUUCGAUCGGUAUCCGGCCUGAGAGGGCGGACGGACACACUGGGACUGAGACACGGCCCAGACUCCUACGGGAGGCAGCAGUGGGGAAUUGUUCGCAAUGGGCGAAAGCCUGACGACGCAACGCCGCGUGGAGGACGAAGAUCUUCGGG
This 362-nucleotide ribosomal RNA is filed under the name uncultured bacterium. Its description in RNAcentral is "bacterial SSU rRNA". It matches the Rfam family "Bacterial small subunit ribosomal RNA", at positions 72 to 422 of the family's 1533-position model. The record is from RNAcentral.